This 479-nucleotide ribosomal RNA is filed under the name uncultured bacterium. Its description in RNAcentral is "partial 16S ribosomal RNA". It matches the Rfam family "Bacterial small subunit ribosomal RNA", at positions 30 to 504 of the family's 1533-position model. The record is from RNAcentral.
AUUGAACGCUGGCGGCAUGCUUUACACAUGCAAGUCGAACGGCAGCGCGGGGCAACCUGGCGGCGAGUGGCGAACGGGUGAGUAAUAUAUCGGAACGUACCCAGAAGUGGGGGAUAACGUAGCGAAAGUUACGCUAAUACCGCAUACGAUCUACGGAUGAAAGUAGGGGACCGCAAGGCCUUAUGCUUUUGGAGCGGCCGAUAUCUGAUUAGCUAGUUGGUGAGGUAAAGGCUCACCAAGGCGACGAUCAGUAGCUGGUCUGAGAGGACGACCAGCCACACUGGAACUGAGACACGGUCCAGACUCCUACGGGAGGCAGCAGUGGGGAAUUUUGGACAAUGGGCGCAAGCCUGAUCCAGCAAUGCCGCGUGAGUGAAGAAGGCCUUCGGGUUGUAAAGCUCUUUUGUCAGGGAAGAAACGGUAGAGGCUAAUAUCCUUUGCUAAUGACGGUACCUGAAGAAUAAGCACCGGCUAACUAC